CUGGAGGUAUCAGAAGUGCGAAUGCUGACAUAAGUAACGAUAAAGCGGGUGAAAAGCCCGCUCGCCGGAAGACCAAGGGUUCCUGUCCAACGUUAAUCGGGGCAGGGUGAGUCGACCCCUAAGGCGAGGCCGAAAGGCGUAGUCGAUGGGAAACAGGUUAAUAUUCCUGUACUUGGUGUUACUGCGAAGGGGGGACGGAGAAGGCUAUGUUGGCCGGGCGACGGUUGUCCCGGUUUAAGCGUGUAGGCUGGUUUUCCAGGCAAAUCCGGAAAAUCAAGGCUGAGGCGUGAUGACGAGGCACUACGGUGCUGAAGCAACAAAUGCCCUGCUUCCAGGAAAAGCCUCUAAGCAUCAGGUAACAUCAAAUCGUACCCCAAACCGACACAGGUGGUCAGGUAGAGAAUACCAAGGCGCUUGAGAGAACUCGGGUGAAGGAACUAGGCAAAAUGGUGCCGUAACUUCGGGAGAAGGCACGCUGAUAUGUAGGUGAAGUCCCUCGCGGAUGGAGCUGAAAUCAGUCGAAGAUACCAGCUGGCUGCAACUGUUUAUUAAAAACACAGCACUGUGCAAACACGAAAGUGGACGUAUACGG
This 592-nucleotide ribosomal RNA is filed under the name Escherichia coli. RNAcentral's name for it is "partial 23S ribosomal RNA". It matches the Rfam family "Bacterial large subunit ribosomal RNA", at positions 1273 to 1850 of the family's 2925-position model. Lineage: Bacteria; Pseudomonadati; Pseudomonadota; Gammaproteobacteria; Enterobacterales; Enterobacteriaceae. The record is from RNAcentral.